ACAGGAUGAAAUUUAUACAUGUAUUCACCAUUAUCUUCUAAAUAAUCUUUGCCUGAAUCCCAACACAUUUGCUUCAUUUUUCAGAUUCAACUUAUCAGUAUAUUAAAGGUUCUGCUGAUAUUAAACCAACCAAGGAAUUUUCCCCAGUGGACUUCAGUGUGUCACCAUUUUAAUUGGUGUCUAUGAUAUACAGACAGGGGUGCCACUGAUGGGAGUCAUCAACCAACCUUUUGUGUCACAAGAUGCCAAUACUCUCAGGUGGAAAGGACAGUGCUACUGGGGCCUUUCUUACCUGGGCACCAAUAUCCAUUCCCUUCAGCUCGCCACCUCUAAAAGACAUGACAGUGACGCACAGACUGAAAAUGGCAGCUCUGAGGCGGAGUUCUCCCACCCCUUUUCAGCAGUCAUUAGUACAAGUGAAAAGGAGACUAUCAAAGCUGCCUUGUCAUGUGUGUGUGGAGAUGGCAUAUUCCCGGCUGCUGGAGCUGGUUACAAGAGCCUUUGUGUUGUCCAAGGCCUGGUUGACAUUUACAUCUUUUCAGAAGACACCACAUUCAAGUGGACUCUUGUGCUGCUCAUGCCAUACUGAGGGCCAUGGUGGGGGGAUGGUAGACAUGAAAGGAUGCUUGGGAAGAAAUCCAGAAAUGGGCUGGAUUUGCCUCAGUUGCUGUACCACGUGGAAAAUGAAGGUGCUGCUGGGUGGAUCGCUGGGCCAACAAGGGAGACUAAUAGCAUACAGGUCCAGGAAGCGGCUGGAGACGUUCCUAAGCCUUCUCAUCCAGAACCUUGCAUCUUCAGAGACACAGACAUAGGACCUGACGUCAACAUACGAUGUAACCCGAACUGAAACUGUUUCCCAUUAUCUCUAUCUUUUGAAGAUAGUUUUGUCCUAUUGAUGGUUAACAUUCACCUUCCUCUUUGGAGGAGCAUUUUUUUUCCAUUAUGUGUUCAUAAUGUUAAUUUCAGUCAAUGACAUUCAUACAACAAUUAAGUUGGUAUAUGAUAUUCUUACAAUAAAUAUUGUCCCAUUAAUGUUGCUUGAAAGACU
This 1048-nucleotide long non-coding RNA is filed under the name Castor canadensis (American beaver). RNAcentral describes it as "lncRNA (ENSCCNG00000014291.1)". The record is from RNAcentral. Lineage: Eukaryota; Metazoa; Chordata; Mammalia; Rodentia; Castoridae.